This 2951-nucleotide long non-coding RNA is filed under the name Anas platyrhynchos platyrhynchos (common mallard). RNAcentral's name for it is "lncRNA (ENSAPLG00000030767.1)". Lineage: Eukaryota; Metazoa; Chordata; Aves; Anseriformes; Anatidae. The record is from RNAcentral.
UCUGGGUUCCCCAGGAAGGUGUUGCAGCCCUUACACAGGUCACCCGAAUUUGGCAGUCUCCAAAUAAUGCCAUAAGACAUCCUUAUGGCCAUCUGAAACGUACGGUGCCACUCUCCCGUGCUCCACCCCAGCUGCAGGAGCUGGAGGUCCCUUCCCACCACCACUCGGACCCUCUUGCGAGCAGCUUCCCAGCAGCUCAUGUCCCGGCUGGGGUCUCACGAGAGCGAUGGAGAGUCCCCCAACACCUCCCUGCCUCUCAGGCGGCGAGGCCGUGGGGCAUCCUGCCCUGCCAGGCAGCUUCUCCCCGCUCUGAAGGAAAGCAUCGGAGCCGCGGCUUGGCAGCGGCGAGCGCUUGCUUCCUAUCUGAAGCGGAACUGCUGUUUAGAAACACUGGCGCGUUCUGUAGACCACACAGUAGGUCCUGAGCAGGCUCUCACACACCUUUGCACUGUGAUAAGGGGAGUAUUAUUACUCUAGUAGUGGCCUGUAAAGAUAAGCUCUUUGGGGCGGGCAGUCUGCUUUUUUUUUUCCAAGCUCUCAUUCUGCCGCACCAGUAGCUCCAGAUUCUUUUCCCGGGGAAAUAAGCUGCUUUUUACUUAAACCUGUGGAGACUGAUGGAAAGUUUAGGUGCCACCACCCGACGCGGCUUGAGAGACCGGGAGAUGCUGCGGAAGAGAAAAGAAGAAGCCCAGGAGAAGGAUUCGGUUCAGUGGGCUUUAGGGGAGCAGGAGAAGAUCAAGCGGCCAAGAAGAGGAGCUGGAAGAGGACGGCGCCGCCGGUCCGAGGUGAAGCCAGAACCAGAAGCCGUGCUGAAGUCAGAACUAGAGCCGGACCGUGAGCCCCUGGCGCACAAGGAGGCUGUGCUGAUGCCUGCCGUGCCAGCACACCAAGACCAGCCACCCAUGGUGGGCACCAUACAGCAGGAGACGCCCGAUGAGGUGCAGAUGGGAGCACUGGAGGGAAACGUGGCAUGUGGGAGCCAGGCUGCUCUGAGUGAUCUGCCAUCUGGGAGCCAGAUCCCUCUGGGCAAUCUGCCAUCUGGGAGCCAGAUCCCUCCGAGUGAUCUGCCAUCCGGGAGCAAGUGUCCUCCAGGUGAUCUGCCAUCUGGGAGCAAGAGUCCUACAGGUGAUCUGCCAUCUGAGAACCAGAGCCCUCUGCUUGAUCUGCCAUCUGGGAGCCAGAGCCCUCUGCUUUACCUGCCGUCUGGGAGCCAGAGUCCUCUGGGUGAGCUGCCGUCCCCACGGGGGUGUGCGGGCCCAUGGGUUGGGGCUGUGGGGGCAGAUACUGCUCCCCAAGUCAUGGGGAGGGACAAAAAGCCCUCUGCAGUCAGCAGGGUGAUUGGCUCGGGGUCUGUGGUUGCUGGUCCUAAACAGCUCGUGUGCUAAGGACGUCUCUGUGGGCUUUCUCGCACGGGGAAGAAGUGUUUGUGUCCUGAUGCACCUCCCUGGGACAACAGGUCUGGCAAAGAGACUUUGCAACAGCAACGCUGCUGGUUCACAGAGCCCAGCAGUGCCUGCCCCCAGCCCUCUGCUGCCCGAAACGAAAGCAGCCAGGGGGUCAGACGUGACCAACGUGACAGUGGGUCACCGUGCCCCACAGCUCCCUGCCAAGAGCCAGGCCAGAGCAGACGUGCUGCGAAGAGGAGGGGCAAUCUCCUGAGACCAGAGCAGGUCGGGGAGUGCCAGACACCUCCUGGCCCCGGGGCUGGAGAGGGGUGCUGAGGAGAGGAAGGGGCAGCCAGAGCUUGGGGUGUACACGUCCGCAGGGGACACGCCGUGGUGGGCUCCGAGCUGGUUGCCAGCUGGGCUCGGGAGGCCUUCCUACAGCUGUGCAAGCGUCAGGCCUGCGUGUGGUGGCCAUCAGCCCCCUCAGAGCCCCUCCAGCUCCCCGGGCACCCCCGUUUCCCUUGGUGGCGAUGUGAAGGUGACCUGUCUCUGACAUGCCUUGCAGGUGAAGAAGAAAUGCUGAAACUUGCGGAAAUGAUACCAGAAGAUGUGAACACCCCCGUGGAAGACGACAAAGCGGGCAGCUUCCCCUCAGUCCUGUAUUAGCUUUCUCUCUCCAGUCUUAAUGUUCUCACUUAAAAUUUUCUGUCUGAGAGAAACUCUCAUGAGUGUUGUAAAGAGAUUUAGAGCCCCUCCUUCCCAGUGAAUAACAAAGCCAGUGUGCUCCCAGUGCUGUUUUUGGUCUGCAGAGUGGGGCUGUGCCCCCUGCCCCUCGCUGCAGGGCGCUGUCCCCACGGGCACCUGUCCCCAUUUCUGAAAGGUGCCUCCAACCCACCUCAGGGAAAUGCCAGCCCCACGGUAAAGCUGAACCCCCCUGUGACAUCCAGCAGGCCAGAGAGCUGCGGCUUGGGCUUUUUUUUUUCUCCACUUCUGACAAACCCGGCCAUCCCUGUGCUGUUAUCUGCGGCCCAAAGGCCUUUCUCACUGUCUGCUGUCCUGAUAAACAGCUCGCUUUCCUCAGGUCUGAGGAGAGCGUUGUUUUUCCUGCAAGCCAAUUAACUCUCACCUUGCUGAGCUGCACUAGACAAAGGCAAGCAGAUCCCCAUCGCAGAACAAUGACCAGCUGAACCAUACAUGUUGGUCAGGAAAGUGCCAUUUUGGGGCAAAAACGUGAGGCCCCUCUGCACAGGUGUUGUGUCUGCAGCUCCCCUGACAACUUUCAGGCCGAGACUCCAAAGAAACACGUGCCUGUGCCAUGUACCCAGAAUUUCUGUGAAAUCAGUGAAGAACAGGGCUUCCUCUCCUCCCACAUUUCACUUCUUGGCCUUCUGGCUAAGAUCGAGUGUAGUGUGUAGAUUUCAGGACUUGUGCUCUUCUCCUCUGUGCAUGUGGGGGUGGCUUUUUUUUUUCAUUUCUGUGCACCCUGACCUAGAAGGUCUUUCUCCUGGAGAACAACACCGACAACAACAACAAAAAAUAAUUAAAUAAACUUAUGGCUGAGCAUCA